GACGAACGCUGGCGGCGUGCCUAAUACAUGCAAGUUGAGCGCUGAAGGUUGGUACUUGUACCAACUGGAUGAGCAGCGAACGGGUGAGUAACGCGUGGGGAAUCUGCCUUUGAGCGGGGGACAACAUUUGGAAACGAAUGCUAAUACCGCAUAAAAACUUUAAACACAAGUUUUAAGUUUGAAAGAUGCAAUUGCAUCACUCAAAGAUGAUCCCGCGUUUUAUUAGCUAGUUGGUGAGGUAAAGGCUCACCAAGGCGAGGAUACAUAGCCGACCUGAGAGGGUGGUCGGCCACAUUGGGACGGAGACACGGCCCAAACUCCUACGGGAGGCAGCAGUAGGGAAUCUUCGGCAAUGGACGAAAGUCUGACCGAGCAACGCCGCGUGAGUGAAGAAGGUUUUCGGAUCGUAAAACUCUGUUGGUAGAGAAGAACGGUGGUGAGAGUGGAAAGCUCAUCAAGUGACGGUAACUACCCAGAAAGGGACGGCUAACUACGUG
This 497-nucleotide ribosomal RNA is filed under the name uncultured bacterium. RNAcentral's name for it is "partial 16S ribosomal RNA". It matches the Rfam family "Bacterial small subunit ribosomal RNA", at positions 28 to 507 of the family's 1533-position model. The record is from RNAcentral.